UGAGGAAUAUUGGUCAAUGGGUGCAAGCCUGAACCAGCCAUCCCGCGUGAAGGACGACUGCCCUAUGGGUUGUAAACUUCUUUUGUAUAGGGAUAAACCUACCCUCGUGAGGGUAGCUGAAGGUACUAUACGAAUAAGCACCGGCUAACUCCGUGCCAGCAGCCGCGGUAAUACGGAGGGUGCAAGCGUUAUCCGGAUUUAUUGGGUUUAAAGGGUCCGUAGGCGGACUUAUAAGUCAGUGGUGAAAGCCUGCCGCUUAACGAUAGAACUGCCAUUGACACUGUAAGUCUUGAGUAUAUUUGAGGUAGCUGUAAUAAGUAGUGUUGCGGUGAAAUGCAUAGAUAUUACUUAGAACACCAAUUGCGAAGGCAGGUUACCAAGAUAUAACUGACGCUGAGGGACGAAAGCGUGGGGAGCGAACA
This 422-nucleotide ribosomal RNA is filed under the name uncultured bacterium. RNAcentral's name for it is "bacterial SSU rRNA". It matches the Rfam family "Bacterial small subunit ribosomal RNA", at positions 355 to 774 of the family's 1533-position model. The record is from RNAcentral.